CUCCAUGUUUCUUACUUCCCUAACCCGGUAGACGUCCACAAUUAAGACAGAUUCUUAUUCAGUCUAACAAGAAGAUCAGAAGCAAUUCAGGGUCAGCAGACUCACUUUUAUGCCUUUAAUAUUUUGUAUUUUGCCAAUAUUUCAAGGUACUUUGAAGGUCCCCUGCUUUCUCAUGAGGGCUGGGCACGAAUGUUCAGGAGCGAUCAUUGUAAUGAUAUCUCUCUGAUUAAAAAGAUAGCUAGUGAAAUUGAGAUAGAACAUCAAAUUCAGAAACAUCAUUAGCAGGAUUCUAUUUUGGCUGGGUCUAAUCUUCUGCGGGGUCACCAUGUUGCCUUCAAUGAGUCUGACCAUUUUAUAUCAUUUAGAUUGAAACAGACCCAUCAUGUCACAGGCAAAUGCCUUUAUCAUAUUUAAUUAACCCAACACCAUGUAAUAAUCUCCCUGGUAAUUAUCCCUUGCCAGCACUUGAAAGCAUGAAGGAACAAAUAAAUCCUCCCAGCUGCAGGUAUAUGUAAGCUGUAACUUGGUGUCAUGGCA
Molecule: long non-coding RNA, 537 nt
Filed under: Bos taurus (domestic cattle)
Lineage: Eukaryota; Metazoa; Chordata; Mammalia; Artiodactyla; Bovidae
Description: long non-coding RNA NONBTAT009026
Source: RNAcentral